RNAcentral lists this transfer RNA (66 nucleotides) under Apodemus latronum (Sichuan field mouse). RNAcentral's name for it is "tRNA-Phe". It matches the Rfam family "tRNA". From Rfam's summary of the family: Transfer RNA (tRNA) molecules are approximately 80 nucleotides in length. Their secondary structure includes four short double-helical elements and three loops (D, anti-codon, and T loops). Lineage: Eukaryota; Metazoa; Chordata; Mammalia; Rodentia; Muridae. The record is from RNAcentral.
GUUAAUGUAGCUUAAAACAAAGCAAAGCACUGAAAAUGCUUAGAUGGAUUCAUUAUCCCAUAAACA